RNAcentral lists this transfer RNA (72 nucleotides) under Sus scrofa (pig). It matches the Rfam family "tRNA". From Rfam's summary of the family: Transfer RNA (tRNA) molecules are approximately 80 nucleotides in length. Their secondary structure includes four short double-helical elements and three loops (D, anti-codon, and T loops). The record is from Rfam by way of RNAcentral. Lineage: Eukaryota; Metazoa; Chordata; Mammalia; Artiodactyla; Suidae.
UCCCUGGCAGCCUAGGGGUUAGGAUUCAGCAUUUCCACUGCUGCAGCCCAGGUUCAAUCCCUGGUCUGGGAA